UACGUAGGGUGCAAGCGUUGUCCGAAAUUAUUGGGCGUAAAGAGCUCGUAGGCGGUUUGUCGCGUCUGCUGUGAAAACUCGGGGCUUAACUCCGGGCCUGCAGUGGGUACGGGCAGACUAGAGUGCGGUAGGGGAGACUGGAAUUCCUGGUGUAGCGGUGAAAUGCGCAGAUAUCAGGAGGAACACCGGUGGCGAAGGCGGGUCUCUGGGCCGUAACUGACGCUGAGGAGCGAAAGCGUGGGGAGCGAACAGG
Molecule: ribosomal RNA, 253 nt
Filed under: uncultured bacterium
Lineage: Bacteria
Description: partial 16S ribosomal RNA
Rfam family: Bacterial small subunit ribosomal RNA
Source: RNAcentral